This 1019-nucleotide ribosomal RNA is filed under the name Bacillus cereus. Its description in RNAcentral is "bacterial SSU rRNA". It matches the Rfam family "Bacterial small subunit ribosomal RNA", at positions 35 to 1040 of the family's 1533-position model. The record is from RNAcentral. Lineage: Bacteria; Bacillati; Bacillota; Bacilli; Caryophanales; Bacillaceae.
GUGGGCAGGGCGGGUGCUAUACAUGCAGUCGAGCGAAUGGAUUAAGAGCUUGCUCUUAUGAAGUUAGCGGCGGACGGGUGAGUAACACGUGGGUAACCUGCCCAUAAGACUGGGAUAACUCCGGGAAACCGGGGCUAAUACCGGAUAACAUUUUGAACUGCAUGGUUCGAAAUUGAAAGGCGGCUUCGGCUGUCACUUAUGGAUGGACCCGCGUCGCAUUAGCUAGUUGGUGAGGUAACGGCUCACCAAGGCAACGAUGCGUAGCCGACCUGAGAGGGUGAUCGGCCACACUGGGACUGAGACACGGCCCAGACUCCUACGGGAGGCAGCAGUAGGGAAUCUUCCGCAAUGGACGAAAGUCUGACGGAGCAACGCCGCGUGAGUGAUGAAGGCUUUCGGGUCGUAAAACUCUGUUGUUAGGGAAGAACAAGUGCUAGUUGAAUAAGCUGGCACCUUGACGGUACCUAACCAGAAAGCCACGGCUAACUACGUGCCAGCAGCCGCGGUAAUACGUAGGUGGCAAGCGUUAUCCGGAAUUAUUGGGCGUAAAGCGCGCGCAGGUGGUUUCUUAAGUCUGAUGUGAAAGCCCACGGCUCAACCGUGGAGGGUCAUUGGAAACUGGGAGACUUGAGUGCAGAAGAGGAAAGUGGAAUUCCAUGUGUAGCGGUGAAAUGCGUAGAGAUAUGGAGGAACACCAGUGGCGAAGGCGACUUUCUGGUCUGUAACUGACACUGAGGCGCGAAAGCGUGGGGGAGCAAACAGGAUUAGAUACCCUGGUAGUCCACGCCGUAAACGAUGAGUGCUAAGUGUGAGAGGGUUUCCGCCCUUUUAGUGCUGAAGUUAACGCAUUAAGCACUCCGCCUGCGGAGUAGGGCCGCAGGGCUGCAUACUCUAUGAUUGACGGAGCCCCGCGCAGCGGUGUAGCAUGUAGUUUAUUAAAACAGCGCGACCAACAUACCUAGCGUGGCUUGCAUGCGAUAAGCCUAGCGAUGAGUGUGUGUCUUCCGUUACCAGAAGUG